AAAGUCGGUGGGAGCCCCAGGAAGCCUAGGUGAAGUUAUACUGGAUGCUACUGGAAGGGUGAGCACAGCUAGGAGAGACUGAGCCUGAGUUUGGGGGUGGGGGUGAGGAGACGACCCAGCUCCUGGGGAGACAGUCCCCAGGUUCUGCAGGGCUGUGUGAUACCCUGCCUUCUGGGGCUGCACUCCAUGGCACUUCCUACUUGGGUUUUAUGGCAAGGUUCCUUAGCCCCUGAGCGGGGCACAUCUGAGCCUAUAAAACAGGCAGCUUGUCUCUCAUGGGAUCUCUGGGAGGAAAAAAGUACUGAUAAAGCAUUUCCGAUUCUAAGAAGGAUGCCAGACAUACAGCAAGUGCUGGGGGGGACGGUGGGGAAACUGAGCAAUCACGUAGGACUACGUGGAAACACAGAUGGCCCUAACCUCUCUCCACCCCACUUCCGCACUCAGCCCACGCUUCUGGUCCCACCAAACUGCCCACCUCUCUGCAAGUGCCCCCUGCCCCUUGUGGUCUCUGCUUUCAGUUCGUCUCGGUUCUCUGGAUCUGAAAUGCCCUGGCCCUUGCUUCUUGUCACCCUCCAGCCUCCUCUCCUCCAUUUAAGGAUCUCCUCCCCGCCCCCUCCCUCCCGACAGCCUUGGGGGCGGACUGCCAGCUCCUGGCUGGGCCCUCAGCUGCACACACACCUGUGCUGUGGAAGAAAGUUCUCUGGCUCCACAGAGGGCCAGGCGAGAACGCCCAGUCCCAGCCCUAGAAGCGGGGAACGUCUCAAUGGCCAGGAAAGGAAGCCGAAGACCGCCCUGGUUCUUCCAAUUCCUGGACCCUGAUACCCUUUCAGCCAUCCCCAAAGGGACUGCAGGGUUUGGCAGCUGGCAGCAGCUGUCCAGGGCCAGGAGUCCUUCCAACCGUCACUGACAUUGACCAUCCUGUCAAGGAGUGCCACAGUCACUGCGUGAUGGACUGCUCUCGUCCCUCCACAUCCAUCCCUGCCUUUGCGAUAAAACCCUGCUUUUGGGGUGGAAAUGAAGUGGCUGCACAAUCCCACAGCCCUCCUUGGCAGCCGCGUGCGGCCAUGUGUGGAUUUCAGGAAGCCCGGAAAGGGGACAAGCGUGUUCCUCUUCCCGACCUUUCCUGCUUCCCCUGGGCUGGAAGGCGGACAAGUGAUUGGCUGCCAUCUCUGACCACGAGACGGAGGCCACGUUGUGAGGACGGAAGAGCAACGGCUGACCACCAAGGACCAGCCCCGGAUUGCCUAUAUCAAGGUGAGAGAGAAACUUCUGUCCUGUUUGUCCCCCAUCAUUUUUGCGUAGGCAAACCUAAUCCUGAUCCACAGAACUAUAAUUCCUCCUGCCCCCUCUCCCUGCCUUUCCCCCCUUCUCUCCACCAACACUGAUGCAGCAUCCAGCACUUGGGGAGCAGAGGAGGAAUAGAGAAGCCGCUGGAGGCGAUUUAGAAAGGGUAGGGGUGCCAAGAAACAAGGCAAUGGACGUGGUACAGACAGAGCCUGGGGAGGAUUUGUCGGGGAGGGGGGAGGUAAGAAGAACCUUCCAGAAGAGCAGGGGCAACAGGAACUUCUCACACACUCACCCCUACCCCAGUUCUCCCCUGGAGGGCCCAGUGCACUCCCUCCCCCUCCGCUCUGGCCCGUGAAGGCCCAGUGCCCCUUCCUGAUGAGGCCGUAGGUGGGGGUGGGUGCCAGCCUGGGUGGUGGGGUGUCUAGGGAGGGUCUGAGGCCAGAGACGGGGAGGGAGGGUCUCCCCAGACCUAUGCAUUUUUCCCAAAUCAAGACAACAGGUCUAGAGUGGACCACGGGGAUCCGGCCUCAUUUGCGAACCCCUGUGCUACCCAUGUGGCUUGCUUCUUAGAAGUGGGCUUCCACUGGAUGCCUGUGGAACUCAGUCCUGGGCAGACUACACGUACACAGGCCAAGUGCUAAGGACAUCAAAGAAAGUCCUACACACCGGCCUGAUGGGCUGACCCAGGGCAGCAACUGCUGGUAUCUGCUCAGCAGCUGGUUACCUGAGGGAAAAAACACCCUGUUCCACAGUCUUUGCAGACUUCUGUGGUCUGAAUCCUCCACUGCGCAUAUGAAGACAGCUACGUCACAGAUCAGGAACUGGAAGGAGGUCCAGGCACAGUCCAUCCCAUCUCCCUAUAAUACAGAUGAGGAAACUGAGGCCCAGGAAAGGAACAUGACUAGGGCACCCCACACGGUGAGUUGGUGGUCUGGACUCUGGCCAGUGUGCACGUCCCACCCUGCCCACCUGCCCCCUGUCCGUGUGUUGGCCCCAGAAACAAGCUUGAGAGGUAGAUGUAGGAUAUGUGGGGUCUGCCUUGGCUGCCUGUCGGAGCUCUAGUUCUUCUGCUGCGGGGACAUCUGUUGGCUUCCAGAAAACAGCUCGGCUGACAAUCAGACCAAGAAGUCCCUGGAGGAACAAAGACCAUGUUCAGAAGGGCACACAGACAAGGCCACUCCGGGCCAGCGGCUCCAGCCGACUUUAAUCCUCCCCCCUCCUAGGUAUUGAUGAAGAUCCCUGUUACUGAAUCCCCUCCAACUUCUAGACAGCACCCAACCCCAGACCGCCUCUGCUUUCCCGACCUCUUCUCGAAUCGCUCCAUACCAACCUGAACCCUCUAAGAGGCCUCUCUUGGGACCUUCCUUUUGAGAUUCUCUGGAGAUCCUGUAGGGCAUGUACUUUGCUGCACAAGCUAAAUAAACCUAACUUUUUUGGACUA
Molecule: long non-coding RNA, 2728 nt
Organism: Neofelis nebulosa (Clouded leopard)
Lineage: Eukaryota; Metazoa; Chordata; Mammalia; Carnivora; Felidae
Exons: 3
Source: RefSeq, a predicted model, not a curated record